Molecule: transfer RNA, 75 nt
Organism: Allomyces macrogynus ATCC 38327
Lineage: Eukaryota; Fungi; Blastocladiomycota; Blastocladiomycetes; Blastocladiales; Blastocladiaceae
Rfam family: tRNA
About the family: Transfer RNA (tRNA) molecules are approximately 80 nucleotides in length. Their secondary structure includes four short double-helical elements and three loops (D, anti-codon, and T loops).
Source: Rfam
GUCACCGUAGUGUAGUCGGUUUAUCACAUCUGCCUUACAAGCAGAAGGUCCUCAGUUCGAUCCUGAGCGGUGACA